CUUUUUUUCGUCAAGCAUAGCUCUAGAACUUUGUAUCACUGAUAGUAGAAAAUUGAUGCCGCUACACGCAAAAUGGCAACUUAAAACAUCUGACUGGUGCCAGAGUAUGAGCUGUGUGGUUUGACUUGAAUAACCAGGAAAAGAAGGAUUAUGAUUUCAAGAUUUUUGGAAGGAUAUGAAAAUCCAAAAUUUAUUUUAAUUGAAGAUACCGUAAGUAGAAGUGGGAAAAAUCUGUUGAAUGCAUUUCUAAAGCACUAUAUAAAAAGGUAUAU
Molecule: long non-coding RNA, 272 nt
Organism: Limulus polyphemus (Atlantic horseshoe crab)
Lineage: Eukaryota; Metazoa; Arthropoda; Merostomata; Xiphosura; Limulidae
Exons: 3
Source: RefSeq, a predicted model, not a curated record